Molecule: long non-coding RNA, 867 nt
Filed under: Trifolium pratense (red clover)
Lineage: Eukaryota; Viridiplantae; Streptophyta; Magnoliopsida; Fabales; Fabaceae
Description: long non-coding RNA (TPRA_LNC004302)
Source: RNAcentral
UUCUUUCUCUCGGGAACGUACACACCAUUUUUGUUUAUGUGGUUCUCUCUCGGGAACCGUACACACCAUUUUAUGUGGUUCUCUCACACUAAACAUGAUGCAAGUCCAUGGUUUUGUUUCGAGUUUGAUUCUAGAAAAGAGAUUUGUGUGGUGAAAAUGAAGAGAGACAGAGAAGGUUAUAUUGGUAAAAAAAACGAAUCAAUGAUUUAUUAAGAUUUAAGAGUUUGGACUCCAAAAUACAAUUCAAUACUUGUGCAUUGAAUGAGUAAAAAAAAAAAAAAAAACUACUAUGAACAAACAAAGACUCCUUCGCUCCUAUCAUUUGUUCACAAUGUUUUUAUUACCUUGUAUUCUUCACAAUGUAUUACCAGGUAGAAACUACACAUUUGGGUGCAUAGGAGUAUCAAAAUGUUUACAAUCUUUCAUUCAAAAUAACAACUCAGAAUCUCAGAAUAACAAGAGGAAAUAGUAUUGCGAUCCUAGCAUAACAACUCAAAAUCUCAGAUCUGUAAAGUUUGAUAACAUUAAGUAAUUUUAGUGUGACAGAAAAGUUUGAGUUAGAGUAAAAAGUUGGUAGCAUGGUGUAGAGAAUUGAAAAUGGAGAAGCUUUUGUGAAGGGACUAUGGUGAUUAGAGUUAUGGUUUGGUUAAAGUUUAGGUUUUUGUGAAGUUGGAGAAAUGAAAUUUUAUGGUGGUUUGGUUGAGAGGGUGAGGAAGUGAGAGAAAUAAUUGUUGAGACUUGAGAGGGUGAGGGAGUAGUAAUUGCUACCGUGAGAGAGUGAAAUAGCUUCUGUCAACUUUUUAGCUUUUGCGUCUCCCGGUGUGCAUUAUUGGCGGCCCUCAGCCUUCAAUAAUGCAUAUUUUAUUU